Molecule: ribosomal RNA, 253 nt
Filed under: uncultured bacterium
Lineage: Bacteria
Description: partial 16S ribosomal RNA
Rfam family: Bacterial small subunit ribosomal RNA
Source: RNAcentral
GACGAAGGUGGCGAGCGUUGUUCGGAAUCACUGGGCAUAAAGCGCACGUAGGCGGCGGCGUAAGUCGGGUGUGAAAUCCCUCGGCCUAACCGAGGAACUGCGCCCGAUACUGCGUUGCUUGAGGAUCAGAGGGGUGCAUGGAAUUUCCGGUGGAGCGGUGAAAUGCGUUGAUAUCGGAAGGAACGUCGGCGGCGAAAGCGGUGCACUGGCUGAUCUCUGACGCUGAGGUGCGAAAGCCAGGGGAGCAAACGGG